UAAGGAACAGGAACUGCACAGAGGAGGAAGUAACAGUUUUUCCUCUCCAGCCAGUGUGCAUUUGGUGUAGUUUGUAGAUGAAAACUCUGUCAGGUUUCUAACCUGGGCGUGUUUAUAGAUUGUUGUCUGACCUGAUGAUGAGCCACCCUACUUGAAAGUGUAGGUUAUUAUGAUCUAUAGUGGUAUUUGCAUGCUUUCCAUUCCCAUUCAUGAACAACCGAACCUGACAGCAGAGUCUAGUAAAUGCCUAUAAGGGCCUAGGAAUGAGUUGAUGCCUAGUUAAGAAACAAGACUUGGAGAGUGAAGGGAUGGUUUUUAUUAAAUCGUUUAUCUUGAAGUGUUCAUUCUAGCUUUAAAUUAAUUAAGACUACACCACCGUGAAGUACAGAAAUGAAAAAGAAAAAAUAUAGAGGGGGGAAAAAGAAUGAAUAUCUGAUUCUUUUCAAUGCUUGUAGAAAUCUUUGAAAUAAUGAAAUGCAUACUAUAAAAUAGCCUUUAGAACAAACACCCCAUUUUACAGCUCAUAGGACAACAUCAAACAUUAGUAAGUCUAAGUAUGAUAAGUAUAAUUUUUGGUGUAUACAUUUUGCUAAAACAGUAUUUUCUUGCACCCCUCAAUUUAAUCUCUUAAAAAUGAAUGUGUAAUUUUUACAGAAAGAAUAUCCAAGGGAGAGAGAAUCUCUGGUCUUUGAUGCUAAAAUAUUGUUCAUGAAUCCUGGCUAGCUAAGUGUACAAAUUAUGACACUUACCGAAUGAAACUCCUUAUACAUCUCUUUCUUAAAUUAAUCAGUCUUUACAAAUUUUCAACUGACUCCCAAAUCUGAUAAGGAAGGAUCCAAAGGUAAGACAAAGGAAACUUAUCAGUUGGGUUGCCAAAAAGUUUCCUUUGUAGUGUUGAGACUAUUUUCUCUUUUCUGAAUUUCACUGGUUCUCUAAAAUAAAAGCUAAGAGUUAAAUGGUACCCUUGUUCAUCAAGGAAAGUAAUGCAAACUCUGUCUAAUAGACACAGAAAGCAAACCACAAGCCAGUUUGGCAUCUUCUCCAUGCUAAUAGAAUAGUCACAUCCACAUGCACAGUCUGAGCAAGGUGAAAAAGAACCCUGUCAGGUCAACUUGGAACAUGGCCUUGCUACUUGGAUUAGCUCCUUCAAACCUGAAAAUAACUUUCCUGGUCAUGGAAGAACUGGAUGUAUCCUUUAGCUUAUGAAAUAGGAUUUGAACUUGAAAUCUCUUUUUUUAAAUCCUGAUUUUGCAGGGCAGCUACAUAAUGAAUGUAUAUAUUAAGACUUUGUAGCUGAAUUGCACAUGAAAUCAGAUUGCCAACUUCUUGACUUUGAAUUUUAGACAUCAUUUUAUCCUUAAGUUGUGAGUGAUAUAUGUAGCAUGCUGUGAAACGUCUAUUAUAGUUCUUUAAUUCAUCAGUAUUAAUACAGAAUUAUCUUUUGCGUUCCUUGGUACUUUUUAUUCAGUGUAAUCAGAAGCUGUGAUGUUUUGCCUUUGUAGUCCUGUGC
Molecule: long non-coding RNA, 1510 nt
Filed under: Equus caballus (horse)
Lineage: Eukaryota; Metazoa; Chordata; Mammalia; Perissodactyla; Equidae
Description: lncRNA (ENSECAG00000045790.1)
Source: RNAcentral